This 253-nucleotide ribosomal RNA is filed under the name uncultured bacterium. Its description in RNAcentral is "partial 16S ribosomal RNA". It matches the Rfam family "Bacterial small subunit ribosomal RNA", at positions 524 to 776 of the family's 1533-position model. The record is from RNAcentral.
UACGUAGGGGGCAAGCGUUGUCCGGAAUUAUUGGGCGUAAAGCGCACGCAGGCGGUUGCGCGCGUUUCCGGUGCCCGCCCGUUGCUUAACGACGGGGGGGCCGGGAAGACGGCGUGACUUGAGGGCCUCAGAGGGACAUAGAAUUCCGGGUGGAGUGGUGAAAUGCGUAGAUAUCCGGAGGAAUACCAAAGGCGAAGGCAGUGUCCUGGGGGGUGACUGACGCUAAGGUGCGAAAGCCAGGGGAGCGAACGGG